GGCCCAAUAGUAUAGUCGUAUUAUACUCCCUUCGGGAACAUAAAAACCCUCAGGGGAGCCCUGAGCUUGGGAGAGGUCCCGGGUUCAAUUCCCGGUUGGGCCC
Molecule: transfer RNA, 103 nt
Organism: Malassezia pachydermatis
Lineage: Eukaryota; Fungi; Basidiomycota; Malasseziomycetes; Malasseziales; Malasseziaceae
Rfam family: tRNA
About the family: Transfer RNA (tRNA) molecules are approximately 80 nucleotides in length. Their secondary structure includes four short double-helical elements and three loops (D, anti-codon, and T loops).
Source: Rfam